RNAcentral lists this ribosomal RNA (433 nucleotides) under uncultured bacterium. RNAcentral's name for it is "partial 16S ribosomal RNA". It matches the Rfam family "Bacterial small subunit ribosomal RNA", at positions 29 to 507 of the family's 1533-position model. The record is from RNAcentral.
AGCGAACGCUGGCGGCAGGCUUAACACAUGCAAGUCGAGCGGGCCCUUCGGGGUCAGCGGCGGACGGGUGAGUAACGCGUGGGAACGUGCCUUCUGGUCUGGAAUAACCCUGGGAAACUAGGGCUAAUACCGGAUACGCCCUUUUGGGGAAAGGUUUACUGCCGGAAGAUCGGCCCGCGUCUGAUUAGCUAGUUGGGGGGGUAACGGCCUACCAAGGCGACGAUCAGUAGCUGGUCUGAGAGGAUGAUCAGCCACACUGGGACUGAGACACGGCCCAGACUCCUACGGGAGGCAGCAGUGGGGAAUAUUGGACAAUGGGCGCAAGCCUGAUCCAGCCAUGCCGCGUGAGUGAUGAAGGCCUUAGGGUUGUAAAGCUCUUUUAUCCGGGACGAUAAUGACGGUACCGGAGGAAUAAGCCCCGGCUAACUUCGUG